CAGCUAGAUAACAUCACUUUGGUAACUUAUUUAACUAAUUUAACACUUCACAAUAAUGUUCAAUAUGUGCAGGGCAAUCUUUUCUUAUUGUCGAGCCCUUUUUAUGUAUUUGUUAAACAUAUCAGGUCAGUGCAUUUAGAAUUAGACGUACCACAGUCAAAAACACCACUUAUUUACAACUAUUGUUAAAAAAUAUCAUUGCUAUUUCAAAGAGAGUUAUAAUAGACACGGUCACAAAAUACUUAUAACAGAGCACCAGAAUUGAUUUCACUCUCAAUUGCAAUGGGUUUUUUAUCACAGGAAAAGUUGGAUGUGGAACACAGAAUGUCUCUUUAGUAGUGGUAAUUAAGUUUUUUUUUAAAGAUAUUAAAUAAAAAGCGCUGAUGCUUCAUCGUUCUCUGUCUGUUGGAGCACCAAAAGUCCAGACCCACUUACGUCAUCCAGAGGUUCCUGUUUUAUUGUGAUGGAAAUUUUGGAUGGCAGGGACUUCUCCAAGGAAUGAGAUUUGUCCUGUGCCAGUGUGCAGAUGGAUGCAUGGGAUGCCAGAAGCAUUUUCAGCUGCUCUUUCUCCUGUUGCAGGCAGCUCACCUCUGCAGCACGAUCUGCUCCAUGUGCAGGCGCUCAGUCUCCUGAAAACAAAUUCACAGCUGGAUCCCAUUAGCAUGUGCUGCUGGUAAAUACGUAACAGAUUCCCCGAAGCAGAGUGUACUGCAUUUUUAAAAAUAAAGGGUGCAAAAGGAGGUUUUCAUAGCAAUAACAUAGAAGAUCAGGUUCCUUAAAGAACUCUCAUUCUGACGGCACCCAUUCACUACAGAGGAUCCAACAGUGAGCAAGUGAUGUAAUGCUAAAUUUCCCCAAAUCUGUUCUGAUGGAGAAACAAACUCAUCUACAUCUUGGAUGACCUGAGGAAGUCUCAAGUUAAAACUGGACAAACAAGAUGUAUCAGAAAGGUGCACCACCCUGAACACAAUAUGAAAAUAAAAAUGGCAGUGCAGCCCUAUUAUUCACCUCCUGAAGAAGGUGAAUAAGUUCUCGUCUGUGGUUGCGGGGCUAGUUGUCACACUGUAUAACACACCUUUCAGGCAGAAACCAUCUAAUGAAGAUUUUCAUUUUGUUUUCAGGACAAGCAUGUCUUGUAUGUUGUAAUAAUUUAUUUGUGGUAUUUUAUGAGUUUAUUUUAUGCGUCUAUCCAGAAAUAAUAAUAUGUUAUAAUAUGUUGCAUUUUACCUGUGCAUUUCUUUUGAAGCUUUCUCUGUGAGCUGCUGUGGGUUCUCUGGUCUGCUCCAGACUCUCACUGGGCAUCACAGGCUCGAUUCUCCAGCGCAGCUCUUGUCUCGAUGUGACUGCAUUGACAGUGGCGAUAAAAGGGCUUUUGGAAAUCUGCAUCUCGACCUGGCUGAAAAGAGGAGAGAAACAAAAGAAAGAUGUGGUAAAUUAAACUAGAAAAUAUGUCACUGCAAAAGAUUCUUGUCAGAAGUGCAGUUUAAACAGAGAACAGAGACCAUAUGGGAACAAUGGAACUUCUUGAGUCUGUGACUCUGUAACUUGGCAUCAGAAGUGGGAUUUGAACUCAUACCUCCAUUCAGAGACCAAAAACCUCAUGUCCUGAGAAGGCUGAAAGUGCUUGAGUGUAGCACUCUGCCAUUCUGACACCUAAUGCUGCUAUAUUGUUAAUCAGUCAUAACAGUAAAGCCUGCCUUAUGGCAAUGCAAAUAUGUAAAUUGCAACUAAAUAAAUUAUUUUGAGACUUAGCAGCUUGCUUUUAAUGAUCACUUCAGUGGAGCCUUCAAUAUGACACUGUGUAGAAUGCAAAUGAAAGCACUUAAUGCAUUUACUUUUUUUUAAAUUAAGUUUUGAAUUUUUGUUUGAUUACUUGAAAACCUUUUUAUCACAAGCAGGGUUUGAACUCACGCCUCCUUUCGGAGACCAGAAUGCUCAUUACAGUACCUGAGAAGGUUGCAACACCCUGAGUCUGGUGCCUAACAUGUUGAUGAGUCCAAUCAGUAAAGCCUUCAGUAUGGAAUGGCAAUGGCACUUAAUGCCUUUACGUUCCUUGAGCUUUCAAUUCUUGUGUAGUCACUCUAAAUUGCCAGUAGUGGAAUUUAACCCCAGUUCUCCAUUCAGAAACCAGGAACCUCAUGUCCUGAAAGCCUGGAAAUCCUUGAGUCUGGCAUCUUCUACCACUUGGUCAUCCUGACACCUGAUGCAAGUUAUUUGAUGAUCUGUCCUAUCAGCGUACCCUGUGGUACUGUGUCGCAUGCAGUUUAUACAUUUGUAUACAUGUAGCCUACAUUCUUAUCUAGUCACUCUAAAAGCUAACUGUCAAGACUGGGAUUUGAACCCACAGCUCCAUCAAAGUCCAGAAACCUCAUGUCCUGAAAAUUUGGUAAAUCCUUGAGUCUGAAUCUUAGACUACUUAGACAUUCUUAAAACUGAUUCUGCUUUUUUGAUGAGCCAUCUUAUCAGUGGAGCCUGCAUUUUGGUUUGCAUUCUUUUGAGUUUUGACUUUUUGUCUAAUCGCUCUAAAAGGAUCUUCUCAGAAGUGAGAUUUGAACCUACAGUAUGCCUCCAUUCUGAGACAGGAAGCCUGCACUGGACUAAAUUCAAAGUACUUUUCAAGGCGGUUGCAAUGUCAGGAUUUAUCUCCUGUGGUAUACCUCAGAUAGUACCUUGAAAGGGACUUUGGGUAUACAGAGUGUCCUUUACAAGAGGACAAUAAGACAUACAUGUGGAAGAGGAAACAGAAUGUAUUGUGGUUUACAUCACUGCAUCAUAGCCUGGCUUUGAUUCUCUUUAUGAAGUAAAUUGCUCUUUCUUUCAGUUCCUUAAUGGAAAAUACUACUCACUUGUUUUGGGUCCGUCACAUGUACACAGGAAUUUUGGUCAGAAAAUUUAUUAUUUUGUAUUAUAUUUUUGCAUAUGUAUUAUUUUGAUACUGUCAUGAUAUAUUUUAUUCCAAUGUUUUAUUUUAUUAUUUUAACACCAUCUCACAAAAGUUGCAGUACUUUGGACUGGUUUUGUUUUUGUAGUCUCUUAUAAAGCAUAAC
Cyprinus carpio carpio is the source of this 3047-nucleotide long non-coding RNA. NCBI's taxonomy places the organism in Eukaryota, Metazoa, Chordata, Actinopteri, Cypriniformes, Cyprinidae. The record is from Ensembl.